AGUGAACGCUGGCGGUAGGCCUAACACAUGCAAGUCGAACGGCAGCACAGUAAGAGCUUGCUCUUACGGGUGGCGAGUGGCGGACGGGUGAGGAAUACAUCGGAAUCUACUUUUUCGUGGGGGAUAACGUAGGGAAACUGACGCUAAUACCGCAUACGACCUACGGGUGAAAGCAGGGGAUCUUCGGACCUUGCGCGAUUGAAUGAGCCGAUGUCGGAUUAGCUAGUUGGCGGGGUAAAGGCCCACCAAGGCGACGAUCCGUAGCUGGUCUGAGAGGAUGAUCAGCCACACUGGAACUGAGACACGGUCCAGACUCCUACGGGAGGCAGCAGUGGGGAAUAUUGGACAAUGGGCGCAAGCCUGAUCCAGCCAUACCGCGUGGGUGAAGAAGGCCUUCGGGUUGUAAAGCCCUUUUGUUGGGAAAGAAAAGCAGCAGGUUAAUACCCCGCUGUUCUGACGGUACCCAAAGAAUAAGCACCGGCUAACUUCGUG
RNAcentral lists this ribosomal RNA (492 nucleotides) under uncultured bacterium. RNAcentral's name for it is "partial 16S ribosomal RNA". It matches the Rfam family "Bacterial small subunit ribosomal RNA", at positions 29 to 507 of the family's 1533-position model. The record is from RNAcentral.